UGUAAGACACAGUUUCUCUGAAUCCAAGACUCUACGCUCUGCAGCAGGCCAAAGUACCUCAUCACGUAGACAAGGAAUCAUGAGGAAAUACGGGGAAGCUCUCCUGGGGCUCCUGUGCAUCCAGGUUUGCUGGGUGAGAGGGAUGACUGUGGAGCAAAGCCCUUCAGCCCUGAGCCACCAGGAGGGAGCCAGCUUUACUCUCCAGUGCAAUUUUUCCCAAACUGUGGGCAGUGUGCAGUGGUUCCGGCAGCACCUUGGGGGCGGCGGUCUCACCAGGCUGUUUUACAUCGCUUCAGGGAUGCAGCAGAGUGGAAGGUUAAACUGCACAGUGAAUAUUAAGGAACGGUCCAGCACCCUCCACAUCAGGACCUCCCAACUGGAAGACUCAGCCACGUACCUGUGUGCAGCGGAGGCACAGUGCUCCCUGGCGAUCUGCAGCCUGCACCCAAACUGCGCUGCACCUGUAGCCCCCGCCCUUCCAUGUGGCUGGCAUUUGCCCCACAGCAGACUUUGCACAUGUUCAGACUUUCAGAUUUACCUUAGGGCAUGUUUUUCCUCCUAAAAUUAGACCCAUCAGGGCUGUCCUUUCACUUGCUUUUCUUGCCCUUCUUCUUCCCAGAAAGCCCUUUGGAGGUAAAAAUUUCUUCGAAAGAGCUACUGGAUCAAGUGACAGAAAUGCUCCUAUCUAGUGCCCUGGAAAAACAGAUCUUCUGGCAGGUAACAUAAAAUGUAUAUGUAUAUUACUCAAAUGAAAAAGGCUUGACAAAAUAAUGCUUUAAUUAUGAUUUAAUUUAUAAUUAUUAUUAGUGCUUUAACAUUUAUUGCUGUGCUAUCACUAUCUUAAAACUAAUAUUAGUUUUAUUGUUGUACCUGUAUUUUAAAAGUGAGUUCUACAAGUGGGGGAACAAGUGCUGAACAGAGAGAUAUGUAGGGUAGCAGAACACAGGCAGGAACACAUGCAGGCUCAGGUUCUGGGUCACAGCAGGCUGUGUGUGAGCUGAGCACUUGGCCGGACCACCUGUGCUGUUUGUGCCUGCUUUGGACUAGCUGUGGUUUUUACAUGCA
Non-coding RNA from Mustela lutreola (European mink), 1065 nucleotides. NCBI's taxonomy places the organism in Eukaryota, Metazoa, Chordata, Mammalia, Carnivora, Mustelidae. The record is from the annotation of a RefSeq genome assembly.